This 252-nucleotide ribosomal RNA is filed under the name uncultured prokaryote. RNAcentral's name for it is "partial 16S ribosomal RNA". It matches the Rfam family "Bacterial small subunit ribosomal RNA", at positions 524 to 776 of the family's 1533-position model. The record is from RNAcentral.
UACAGAGGUUGCAAGCGUUGUUCGGAUUUAUUGGCGUAAAGGGUCCGUAGGCGGUCCAUAAAGUCUGAUGUGAAAUCCCACAGCUCAACUGUGGAACUGCAUUGGAAACUCAUGGACUAGAGUAUGAGAGGGGUUAAGGGAAUUCCCGGUGUAAGGGUGAAAUCUGCAGAGAUCGGGAGGAACACCAGUCGCGAAGGCGCUUAACUGGCUCAUUACUGACGCUCAGGGACGAAAGCUAGGGUAGCAAACGGG